RNAcentral lists this long non-coding RNA (889 nucleotides) under Homalodisca vitripennis (glassy-winged sharpshooter). Its description in RNAcentral is "uncharacterized LOC124372750, transcript variant X1". The record is from RNAcentral. Lineage: Eukaryota; Metazoa; Arthropoda; Insecta; Hemiptera; Cicadellidae.
GUAUGUAUGUAUAUAUAUGUACAUUAUUCAUUCACUGUGACAUUACAACAAGCCGAGUAGCGAAGAGCGAAGUUUGCAUUACAGGCUGUAAUUGACAGCAGACAACCGGCCGUAGAACAUUUUCAUUAGUUGGUGUUGUGGACUGUUAUAGUUUGAAGUUUGUUUUAGUAUUCUGUACUGAUAACUGAAAUGCAUAAUAUAUUUUUUGCUGUGUAAAUUUUAGCUAAAUGUAUAUGUAUAGUGAAAUAACUGUUUUUGUCUUUUCACUUUUAGGUUAUUAGUAAACCAAAUUAAGAAAAGGAAAGAUGAAGGAUGGAAGACUUAUUCAAGUCAAGAUCUGUAACUGGGAAUAAAGUGGAAUGAUAAUCAAUUGCAGGUCUAAUGCGGAAUAUGUCUUCAAAAGGAUUCUCCAGGCUUCAUUAUUUGAUGAUUACUUUAAAAAACAGUUGGACCGGCAGAAAUGGCAGUAAUAUAUUCGGCCAUGGAUAUUAAAACAAUAUUCUAUCUAGAAACAUCAGUUCAAGUACUGCAGUGUGUAUACGAUCCCUUUCAACCCCUCAUCAAAAGAAACCGGCAAGUCAGACAGUGGAUUCCAGGCUGGACCAGUGGUCCCAAGUGUUCACACCCUAAAAAGAAGGUAAGAAAUUACCCUGACAGUUUUACGAUGUGGACCUACAAUACGUUUACCAUUGUUUAUUUACUAGAUAAAGAUACUAUAAAUAUAUUUCAAUUUACGUUUGAUAAACUACAGUAGCCUUUCAACAUUUAUAUUUUAUUACUGACUAGAUAGGAGACUGAGCCCCUAGAUACAGUAGUAGUAAUAAGUUCAAAAUAUAAUCUUAUAAAUAAAAAUGAAUCGCUGAAUGUCUUGCUAAUCCUGGGAUAAGUA